AGUGAACGCUGGCGGUAGGCCUAACACAUGCAAGUCGAACGGCAGCACGGUAAGAGCUUGCUCUUACGGGUGGCGAGUGGCGGACGGGUGAGGAAUACAUCGGAAUCUACUUUUUCGUGGGGGAUAACGUAGGGAAACUUACGCUAAUACCGCAUACGACCUACGGGUGAAAGCAGGGGAUCUUCGGACCUUGCGCGAUUGAAUGAGCCGAUGUCGGAUUAGCUAGUUGGCGGGGUAAAGGCCCACCAAGGCGACGAUCCGUAGCUGGUCUGAGAGGAUGAUCAGCCACACUGGAACUGAGACACGGUCCAGACUCCUAAGGGAGGCAGCAGUGGGGAAUAUUGGACAAUGGGCGCAAGCAUGAUCCAGCCAUACCGCGUGGGUGAAGAAGGCCUUCGGGUUGUAAAGACCUUUUGUUGGGAAAGAAAAGCAGCAGGUUAAUACCCCGCUGUUCUGACGGUACCCAAAGAAUAAGCACCGGCUAACUUCGUG
RNAcentral lists this ribosomal RNA (492 nucleotides) under uncultured bacterium. RNAcentral describes it as "partial 16S ribosomal RNA". It matches the Rfam family "Bacterial small subunit ribosomal RNA", at positions 29 to 507 of the family's 1533-position model. The record is from RNAcentral.